This is a long non-coding RNA of Telopea speciosissima, 150 nucleotides long. RefSeq lists it as uncharacterized. The record is from RefSeq and is a predicted model, not a curated record. NCBI's taxonomy places the organism in Eukaryota, Viridiplantae, Streptophyta, Magnoliopsida, Proteales, Proteaceae. The transcript is spliced from 5 exons.
CCUCCAAUGCCAGCAGACAAGGCUAGGCGCAUGAUAUAAGGCUGCUUCCAUGUUGUUGUUAAGCACUCUAUGUACUCUGGUGCUUCAGCUUUGUGAACCGCUCCCUCCCCCAUGUUUGAGGUAAAACGAAGAUCGAAGAUUUUCUUAAAA